RNAcentral lists this ribosomal RNA (450 nucleotides) under uncultured Glomus. Its description in RNAcentral is "SSU rRNA". It matches the Rfam family "Eukaryotic small subunit ribosomal RNA", at positions 569 to 1024 of the family's 1831-position model. Lineage: Eukaryota; Fungi; Glomeromycota; Glomeromycetes; Glomerales; Glomeraceae. The record is from RNAcentral. RNAcentral also lists the same sequence under 1 other name.
AGCAGCCGCGGUAAUUCCAGCUCCAAUAGCGUAUAUUAAAGUUGUUGCAGUUAAAAAGCUCGUAGUUGAAUUUCGGGGUUAGCAGGUCGGUCGUGCCAUCGGUAUGAACUGGUCUCGCUGAUCCCUCCCUCUUGACGAACUGUGAUGCCAUUAAUUUGGUGUCGCAGGGAAUCAGGACUGUUACUUUGAAAAAUUAGAGUGUUUAAAGCAGGCUCACGCUUGAAUACAUUAGCAUGGAAUAAUGAAAUAGGACGUUUGAUCCUAUUUUGUUGGCUUCUAGGAUUGACGUAAUGAUUAAUAGGGAUAGUUGGGGGCAUUAGUAUUCAAUUGUCAGAGGUGAAAUUCUUGGAUUUAUUGAAGACUAACUACUGCGAAAGCAUUUGCCAAGGAUGUUUUCAUUAAUCAAGAACGAAAGUUAGGGGAUCGAAGACGAUCAGAUACCGUCGUAGU